RNAcentral lists this ribosomal RNA (253 nucleotides) under uncultured bacterium. Its description in RNAcentral is "partial 16S ribosomal RNA". It matches the Rfam family "Bacterial small subunit ribosomal RNA", at positions 524 to 776 of the family's 1533-position model. The record is from RNAcentral.
UACGUAGGGUGCAAGCGUUAAUCGGAAUUACUGGGCGUAAAGCGCGCGUAGGCGGCUUUGUAAGUUAGAGGUGAAAGCCCGGGGCUCAACCCCGGAACAGCCUUUAAGACUGCAUCGCUAGAAUCCGGGAGAGGUGAGUGGAAUUCCGAGUGUAGAGGUGAAAUUCGUAGAUAUUCGGAAGAACACCAGUGGCGAAGGCGGCUCACUGGACCGGCAUUGACGCUGAGGUGCGAAAGCGUGGGGAGCAAACAGG